UCGUUAAAUAAGAAAAAACUUUUUUUUAUAAAUAUUUAACUCUGUCACAUGAAAAGUAUACUCAUUAAAAGAUACUCAUGAAUUAAAAAAUAAAACAAUAUUUUUGUCACAGUAAAUACAUAAAAUAUGAUCAAGACUAUGUUUUCUUGAGACUUACUCCAGUACGUUCUUGUGGAAUUCUGUAAAAAGCAUCGCAUUGCCCGUUUUUGGGGCACUCUUGUCUGUGACCGAAGGCAGCACAGAAAAGAGGACAAGCUGAUCUUGGAUGUGACUCAGGGAGGUGUAGCAUGGACGUGUUUCCAAGACGAAGCUUGGGUUUCUCUCUCUGCUGGCCUGUUGCUGUCAGUCUGGGCGCCUGCUUUGGUUCACGGCUCCCUGGGCAGAGUGCGAGAGCCACGCAGGAAAGACUUACUGCAGGAAAUACCUCACAGAUUGUUACCCCACAGGGACCGUAAGACGAACAAAUGAAAAAAAAUAACAAGGAUGGAGGAGAGGGGGAUGAGAUACAGUCGCUAAAUUGGUGAGCAAUUGGCUCUGCAUUCCCAAGCCCCUCAUGUCCCGUCGAAUGGAGGAACGGUGGGAUCCCACAGGCCACAUUAAAGAUCAAUGAAAAAAGAAAGAACACAAGUAGAACGCUUUGUAGAUGCAGAGACGGAGAGAGAACAGGCCCGUGGUGUGUGUUUUCCCUCUGGCUGAUUUUAACCAAAUAGCAGCAAACAAGCAAUUAUUCCUGGCAGCCCGAGUCCAUGGUUCCUUUCCAAGAAAGAGCAGAGGGAGUGGGGGUGGAUGAAGUCACUCUGACAGAUGGGAUUUAAAUCAAUAUUACAUUAUAUGUCCUUAUUUAUUAAAAAAGAAACAGGAAACCCAACCGAAAAAGGGCCCAGAAGAGCAAUGUGCUGCUUCUUGUUGAUGGAAUAAUUGCUUUAAUACAUUUUUUUUCACCCUUCUAUAUCACUUUCUUCAUUUCCUGUCACCCUACACACACAGACACACACACACACACAUCUUGUCUUUAGACACUGUGAACUCUGGUGUAUAAAAUAAUGGGGUGAAAAAAGCCUUAACAGAAACCAUCUGGAAUGGAGUUUAAGACUGAAAAACCUCCAAAGUUCCAUUGUCGAAUAGGAAGAGGAGGACGAGGAUGAAGAUCACUUUACAAAAACAUCUGCAAAUGCAUCGUUUCUGCAGGUUGGGCAAUGGAUACGGCACCGACACUUCAAGCCUGUCUCAUUAGAAAUGGUAAUAAUUUGCAUGAGAUGGUAAAUUCAUAAGAAAUUGUAGAAAAAUAUGACCCUCUUUGAACAUUCAUUUCCUGUGAGGUUUGACAUUUCUUCAAU
This is a long non-coding RNA of Carassius auratus (goldfish), 1337 nucleotides long. RefSeq lists it as uncharacterized. The record is from RefSeq and is a predicted model, not a curated record. The transcript is spliced from 4 exons. NCBI's taxonomy places the organism in Eukaryota, Metazoa, Chordata, Actinopteri, Cypriniformes, Cyprinidae.